Molecule: long non-coding RNA, 470 nt
Organism: Myiozetetes cayanensis
Lineage: Eukaryota; Metazoa; Chordata; Aves; Passeriformes; Tyrannidae
Exons: 3
Source: RefSeq, a predicted model, not a curated record
CACACACACACACACACACACGCACACAUCGGCCAGUCCCAGCACCGACUGGGGCCAGCUCCCUCUUUCUGUGAGCUCCGUCCAACUGCCGGACACCCGCCGUAGGAAUUCUCCCUCCAUGGUUCCUUGUUGCAAGGGGAGGCUUAAACAGCUCAUGAAAGGAAAGGAUAAGCGCCGAUGAAACCCGGCACGCACGCAGGGCUACACGGGCCCCCUCCCCUCAGCCUCACGCACACGGGAGCCGGGCACACUGCCCCUUGUCACAGGUGAGGGUAAGGCCGCGGGUAGAGGCUGGGGAGAGCUCGCUCGGUGCAGCGUCGGGGAUCUGGAAUAUGCCCAGGCUGUCCUGCGCCCCUUGAGGUCGGGGCUUGGGGAGGCGGGGGUCCCAGAGCCCGAUACUAGCCGGGCCUUUUUGGCAUGGGGCGGGGGUUGUUUUGAGGAGCGGCCGUGGCAGCGGCUCCGGCGGUGGC